GGUGACUAUUGCGUUAGGGAUCACCUCUUCCCAUUCCGAACAGAGUCGUUAAGCCUAACAGCGCCGAUGGUACUGGGUUCGCCCCGGGAGAGUAGGUCGUCGCCAU
This 106-nucleotide ribosomal RNA is filed under the name Phaeocystidibacter marisrubri. The record is from RNAcentral. Lineage: Bacteria; Pseudomonadati; Bacteroidota; Flavobacteriia; Flavobacteriales; Phaeocystidibacteraceae.